Molecule: ribosomal RNA, 398 nt
Filed under: uncultured bacterium
Lineage: Bacteria
Description: bacterial SSU rRNA
Rfam family: Bacterial small subunit ribosomal RNA
Source: RNAcentral
AUAUUGGACAAUGGGCGCAAGCCUGAUCCAGCCAUGCCGCGUGAGUGAUGAAGGCCUUAGGGUUGUAAUGCUCUUUUAGCGGGGAAGAUAAUGACGGUACCCGCAGAAUAAGCCCCGGCUAACUUCGUUCCAGCAGCCGCGGUAAUACGAAGGGGGCUAGCGUUGUUCGGAAUUACUGGGCGUAAAGCGCACGUAGGCGGAUUGACAAGUUAGGGGUGAAAUCCCGGGGCUCAACCUCGGAACUGCCUUUGAUACUGUCAGUCUAGAGUCCGGAAGAGGUGGGUGGAAUUCCUAGUGUAGAGGUGAAAUUCGCAGAUAUUAGGAAGAACACCGGUGGCGAAGGCGGCCCACUGGUCCGGAACUGACGCUGAGGUGCGAAAGCGUGGGGAGCAAACAGG